This 72-nucleotide transfer RNA is filed under the name Microcaldota archaeon. RNAcentral's name for it is "Candidatus Micrarchaeota archaeon (hot springs metagenome) tRNA-Ala". It matches the Rfam family "tRNA". From Rfam's summary of the family: Transfer RNA (tRNA) molecules are approximately 80 nucleotides in length. Their secondary structure includes four short double-helical elements and three loops (D, anti-codon, and T loops). Further hydrogen bonds mediate the characteristic L-shaped molecular structure. tRNAs have two regions of fundamental functional importance: the anti-codon, which is responsible for specific mRNA codon recognition, and the 3' end, to which the tRNAs corresponding amino acid is attached (by aminoacyl-tRNA synthetases). tRNAs cope with the degeneracy of the genetic code in two manners: having more than one tRNA (with a specific anti-codon) for a particular amino acid; and 'wobble' base-pairing, i.e. permitting non-standard base-pairing at the 3rd anti-codon position. RNAcentral also lists the same sequence under 1 other name. The record is from RNAcentral. Lineage: Archaea; Nanobdellati; Microcaldota.
GGGCUCAUAGCUCAGUGGUAGAGCGCUCGCCUUGCACGCGAGAGGCCGGGGGUUCAAAUCCCUCUGAGUCCA